CCAUCGCUAGUGUCACCCACAACUAUCUCCACCAGCUAGUGUCACCCACAACUAUCUCCACCAGUGCUUUGGUGUCACCCAGAACUAUCUCCACCAGUGCUAGUGUCACCCAGAACUAUCUCCACCAGUGCUAGUGUCACCCAUAAUUAUUUCUCUCAGCGCUAGUGUCACCCAGAACUAUCUCAACCAUCGCUACUGUCACCCGGAACUAUCUCCACCAGCGCUGGUGUCACCUAGAAUUAUUUCCUUCAGCGCUAGUGUCAACCCAGAACUAUCUCCACCAUCGCUAGUGUCACCCACAACUAUCUCCACCAGUGCUAGUGUCACCAGGAACUCUCUCUCUCAGCGCUAGUGUCACCCAGAACUAUCUCAACCAUCGCUACUGUCACCCGGAACUAUCUCAACCAUCGCUACUGUCACCCAGAACUAUUUCCUCCAGCGCUAGUGUCACCCGGAACUAUUUCCUCCAGCGCUAGUCAUGAUAGCCACCUCCACCUGGGUCUUGAUUGCAGGAAUCGUCUGCCUCAUCAUCGUCGCCCCUUCCAUCACACACUCCACACACUCCACACACUCUUCA
Long non-coding RNA from Homarus americanus (American lobster), 577 nucleotides. RefSeq lists it as uncharacterized. The transcript is spliced from 2 exons. NCBI's taxonomy places the organism in Eukaryota, Metazoa, Arthropoda, Malacostraca, Decapoda, Nephropidae. The record is from RefSeq and is a predicted model, not a curated record.